GUGGGGUGAAGUCACAGCCCCACAAAUAAAGUUUGAAGGAUUUGGAGUGUUGCAGAGUGUUGGGCCAUUUCCCGUGAGAGUAGUGGAGCUAAUAAUAAUCAUGGCUAGGCUUCGCGAAUGAAGAUUUGGGGAGGG
This is a long non-coding RNA of Corapipo altera (White-ruffed manakin), 135 nucleotides long. RefSeq lists it as uncharacterized. NCBI's taxonomy places the organism in Eukaryota, Metazoa, Chordata, Aves, Passeriformes, Pipridae. The transcript is spliced from 3 exons. The record is from RefSeq and is a predicted model, not a curated record.